Cucumis melo (muskmelon) is the source of this 81-nucleotide non-coding RNA. The record is from Rfam. NCBI's taxonomy places the organism in Eukaryota, Viridiplantae, Streptophyta, Magnoliopsida, Cucurbitales, Cucurbitaceae.
UGAUGUGGGUGAUGAAAACAUGAAAUAUCAGUUAUCCCUGUCUGAUUUUUCGAUGCUGAUGAUUCAUGAUCUGACAUAAAC